This 253-nucleotide ribosomal RNA is filed under the name uncultured bacterium. Its description in RNAcentral is "partial 16S ribosomal RNA". It matches the Rfam family "Bacterial small subunit ribosomal RNA", at positions 524 to 776 of the family's 1533-position model. The record is from RNAcentral.
GACGUAGGGGGCGAGCGUUGUCCGGAUUUAUUGGGCGUAAAGAGCUCGUAGGCGGCUCGUCGCGUCGACCGUGAAAACCCGCGGCUUAACUGCGGGCUUGCGGUUGAUACGGGCGGUCUAGAGUUCGGUAGGGGAGACUGGAAUUCCUGGUGUAGCGGUGAAAUGCGCAGAUAUCAGGAGGAACACCGGUGGCGAAGGCGGGUCUCUGGGCCGAUACUGACGCUGAGGAGCGAAAGCGUGGGGAGCGAACAGG